GCAACAGGCGUUGGGGUUCGAUCCGCACCUUGGCCGCCUUCAGAGGUGCCACCCCACGAGUCGCCCGCCUUCCCUUGAGGCCCGCUGUGGACCCCAAGCCCGGCUUAUCCAACUUGUUCUCGCUCGCGAGUCCUGGAGGAUGGAGCUGCUUUCCAGCCAGGCCUCGGUGGUACUUUUGAUUCAGUAGUCUGCACAUUUGCAAUGAAAUUGCCCAAGAGAGUCCCCUCUGGGUUGGGCACGGUGCUAAGCAUGGACCUCACAAAGCUGAGCCAGAUGUUCCCAAAGAGCAAAGAGGCUCAAGGAUAGAAGAAUUUAUGGAGGUGGUUACAGAGGAAGAGAGAAGGUUUCUCUUCUCUAUAAGGCAUGGUCAUCCACUGAGUGAGAGAAUAGCGUGAACCAAAAGAGAACGAUGAAGUGAGAGAAGAGUUACUAAGCAACCAUAGACAAAUCGUGUCUAAAGACUGCCCAGCUGAGAACCUGCCCAUUCACACCCCUGAAGAACAAACCGGCCUACCUGUUCCAACAUCACUAUGGAAUCUUGGAGUACUCCUUUUAGGCGGUGGGCCUGAUCUUUGUUCUUUUGAAUAUUUUCUGUUCUUGAGAACCUGUCAGAGACUAAACUAGAAGACAAAAAAAAAUUUUUAAUCAUGAAAGCAGCUGCUUAUCUUUUAUUUACAGAAAUUAUUGUGCCCCAUGAAUUGCAAAUAAAACACAAAAUCAAACCCA
Molecule: long non-coding RNA, 726 nt
Organism: Mus musculus (house mouse)
Lineage: Eukaryota; Metazoa; Chordata; Mammalia; Rodentia; Muridae
Product: predicted gene, 46552
Exons: 2
Source: RefSeq, a predicted model, not a curated record